CUAAUAUAUAAACAUCGACACGAACACCCGGCAUAAAACUCAAACUCAGACGCAGACUUGAGUAGAGAGAGAGAGAGGGGCAGAAAUGGCGUUAAAUGCGGCACCGCCGGAUGACUUACAUGACCUAUUCCAAUCUGUCUGCAUACCUGGUGAGGCUGUGCCUCAAGGAGCCCUACCUCUCUGAAGCCUUGCCCCAAUGACCCGUGAGAAGAUCCACUUUACCGCCUCCAAAUGGAUCAACGGCAAAC
Molecule: long non-coding RNA, 248 nt
Filed under: Olea europaea subsp. europaea
Lineage: Eukaryota; Viridiplantae; Streptophyta; Magnoliopsida; Lamiales; Oleaceae
Source: RNAcentral